CUACGGGGCGCUCCAGUGGGGAAUAUUGGACAAUGGGGGAAACCCUGAUCCAGCAAUGCCGCGUGUGUGAAGAAGGCCUGCGGGUUGUAAAGCACUUUCGGUUGGGAGGACUGCUUCUAGCACUAAUAUUGUUGGAAGUUGACGUUACCUUCAGAAGAAGCACCGGCUAACUCCGUGCCAGCAGCCGCGGUAGAGUACGGAGGGUGCAAGCGUUAAUCGGAAUUACUGGGCGUAAAGCGCGCGUAGGCGGCUAGAUCAGUCGGGUGUGAAAGCCCCGGGCUUAACCUGGGAACUGCAUCCGAUACUGUCUAGCUUGAGUACAGGAGAGGAGAGUGGAAUUCCACAUGUAGCGGUGAAAUGCGUAGAUAUGUGGAGGAACACCAAUGGCGAAGGCAGCUCUCUGGCCUGAUACUGACGCUGAGGUGCGAAAGCGUGGGGAGCAAACAGGAUUAGAUACCCUUGUAGUC
This 467-nucleotide ribosomal RNA is filed under the name uncultured bacterium. RNAcentral describes it as "partial 16S ribosomal RNA". It matches the Rfam family "Bacterial small subunit ribosomal RNA", at positions 339 to 795 of the family's 1533-position model. The record is from RNAcentral.